CACGCUCCAGAUUUAUCAAGGUAGAUCCGACUCACGCGCCCCACGCACCGGCGCGUGAGCACUGUUCCGGUGAGAUUCUGACGAAGGUCCUUCAGGGCAGUUAGAUCGCCCUCAAAUUCCGAGCCUACCCAUAUUUUUACUUUUCAAUUCCGACAACUUUGAAGUUUUUCCGGCAUCUGCAGUGAUUUUUUCCGGCAUCUACAGUAAUUUUCCGGCAAAAACAGUAUUUCCUUCAUC
This 237-nucleotide long non-coding RNA is filed under the name Nicotiana benthamiana. RNAcentral describes it as "long non-coding RNA (NBEN_LNC022954)". Lineage: Eukaryota; Viridiplantae; Streptophyta; Magnoliopsida; Solanales; Solanaceae. The record is from RNAcentral.